CCUACGGGUGGCUGCAGUGGGGAAUAUUGGACAAUGGGGGCAACCCUGAUCCAGCAAUGCCGCGUGUGUGAAGAAGGCCUGAGGGUUGUAAAGCACUUUUGAUGUAGAAGAGGCCUUAUGAAAGUAAGGUGACGGUAUAUAUUGAAUAAGCACCGGCUAACUCUGUGCCAGCAGCCGCGGUAAUACAGAGGGUGCAAGCGUUAAUCGGAGUGACUGGGCGUAAAGGGUGCGUAGGCGGUUAAGUAAGUUGGGUGUGAAAGUCUAUGGCUUAACCA
Molecule: ribosomal RNA, 275 nt
Filed under: uncultured bacterium
Lineage: Bacteria
Description: partial 16S ribosomal RNA
Rfam family: Bacterial small subunit ribosomal RNA
Source: RNAcentral